UCGGGAACACUCAAAUCCAAGCUCUAGCCACAAGUAUGAUCACCUCUAGUGCCAGACCCUACACUUGGAAAAACUGUAGGCAAAGUGGUGUUAGUACAAACAUGCACUAAGUAUGAUAGUCAUGCAUAAAAACACUUGAAACAAGCUAAAAGGGACAUUUCAUUUCAAAGCAUGCAAUUUACCAAGUUUAAACAUCAUCAUCGAGAUAGUUGGAAAACAUAAGUCAAA
Molecule: long non-coding RNA, 228 nt
Filed under: Solanum tuberosum (potato)
Lineage: Eukaryota; Viridiplantae; Streptophyta; Magnoliopsida; Solanales; Solanaceae
Description: long non-coding RNA (STUB_LNC009012)
Source: RNAcentral